RNAcentral lists this ribosomal RNA (440 nucleotides) under uncultured bacterium. RNAcentral's name for it is "partial 16S ribosomal RNA". It matches the Rfam family "Bacterial small subunit ribosomal RNA", at positions 338 to 795 of the family's 1533-position model. The record is from RNAcentral.
CCUACGGGAGGCAGCAGUGGGGAAUAUUGCACAAUGGGCGAAACCCUGAUGCAGCGACGCCGCGUGAGUGAAGAAGUCCUUCGUUAUGUAAAGCUCUAUCAGCAGGGAAGAAAAUGACGGUACCUGUGUACGGCUCCGCGGCUACCUACGUGCCAGCAGCCGCGGUCAUACGUAGGUGGCAAGCGUUAUCCGGAUUUACUGGGGGUAAAGGGCGUGGAGGCGGGGAAGCAAGUCAGAUGUGAAAACCACGGGCUCAACCUGGGGCCUGCAUUUGAAACUGUUUGGCUGGAGUGCGGGAGAGGCAGACGGAAUUCCGAGUGUAGCGGUGAAAUGCGUAGAUAUUAGGAAGAACACCAGUGGCGAAGGCAGUCUGCUGGAAAGCAACUGACGCUGAGGCGCGAAAGCGUGGGGAGCAAACAGGAUUAGAUACCCCUGUAGUC